GAAGCAAAAACUGUUUUCAACUAAUUAUCCCCUAUUCAAUUUUUUUGGCUAUAUAAUGCAAUAUCUAGUCAAUGUCACAUGUGAGAAAAGAAAGUUAUAUGCAAAAGCAAAAAAGCGUAGCUAGUCCAGCAACUAGUAGUUCAAAAUUUUGAUAGUAAGCAGCUUUUAUCCGAAAAUAUGCGAGUGACUGAGGGAAGCAACUUAUUAUUACAUAAGCAUAAAAAAAGCAGAAACUUAAUACUCAUUGAAGCAAAAACUGCUUCACCUAAUUGUCAACAACUCGAAAAAGCGUAGCUAGUCCGGCAACUACUACUUCAAAAAAUUGGAUAGUAAGCAAGUUUUAUCAAAAAAGAUGUGAGUGGGGAGCAACUAAUUAUCACAACAACCCUAAAAAAAGCAAAAUCCGAAUGCAUAAGGAUGAAAGAAGCCGCUUCAAUUGACUACAUAAUGCAAUUUCUAGUCAUUAUUCUUACCUAUCUUAAAGCAAACAAUCUGGAAAAGAGACAAAGGGUAGCUAGAGUAGCAACUUGUAGUUCAAAAAUUAGGAUAGGAUGCAGCUUUUACUAGAAUAGUCGAGUGACUGAAAAGCAACUAAUUACACACUUAGUCUAGCAACUCAUGGUCCACCGAAAGUUUAGCCCAGAAGUUUAGAGGAAGGACUAAGGGCAUCUCCAAUGGUUGAUACUAAGUAGGUACUAGUCCUAUGUGGCGGAGAGAUAGAUAGAAAAGAAUAGUACCUGUUACUUGCAGAAGUAACAGCUUCUACGCGGAAACCAAGAACAAAAGGAGGAUGACAUGUGGGUUCAUUAGAAAAUAGAAGUGAAUAAAAAAUAAAAAGAAGAGAGGGAAAUCAUAAAAUAAAAAUUAGUAACGGCUUGUUGUUGAAGAUGUCCUAAGGAGAAUUGAUUGGACAUUGAUUUGGCCUAAUUUGAUACAGCAACUCCUAAUUCAGCACAUUUUCUUCGGAAGGAAAAUGUUUGCUAUAACAUGCUUAUAACAUAGAACCGAAUUGGCACAUGGCAAUGUUAGCUAUAACAUAGAACCGAAUUGGGACAUGACGGAUCAAAAUUGAG
RNAcentral lists this long non-coding RNA (1073 nucleotides) under Brachypodium distachyon (stiff brome). RNAcentral's name for it is "long non-coding RNA (BDIS_LNC002033)". The record is from RNAcentral. Lineage: Eukaryota; Viridiplantae; Streptophyta; Magnoliopsida; Poales; Poaceae.